AGAGGGGUUCGUGUCGGCGACAGUUUGAAAUACGCAGAGUAGUAGAUUAUCCCUGUUGCUGCGCCUCUUCAUUGCCUGGUGGAAGAAGUUUGAAAUAAGUGGUGAAAUUCCUGCGUUAAAGAAUCGUUCUUCAAUCCUCUUUCUGUGCGCUUU
Molecule: long non-coding RNA, 153 nt
Organism: Callorhinchus milii (elephant shark)
Lineage: Eukaryota; Metazoa; Chordata; Chondrichthyes; Chimaeriformes; Callorhinchidae
Exons: 3
Source: RefSeq, a predicted model, not a curated record